Molecule: ribosomal RNA, 468 nt
Filed under: uncultured bacterium
Lineage: Bacteria
Description: partial 16S ribosomal RNA
Rfam family: Bacterial small subunit ribosomal RNA
Source: RNAcentral
GACGAACGCUGGCGGCGUGCUUAACACAUGCAAGUCGAACGGAAAGGCCCUGCUUUUGUGGGGUGCUCGAGUGGCGAACGGGUGAGUAACACGUGAGUAACCUGCCCUUGACUUUGGGAUAACUUCAGGAAACUGGGGCUAAUACCGGAUAGGAGCUCCUGCUGCAUGGUGGGGGUUGGAAAGUUUCGGCGGUUGGGGAUGGACUCGCGGCUUAUCAGCUUGUUGGUGGGGUAGUGGCUUACCAAGGCUUUGACGGGUAGCCGGCCUGAGAGGGUGACCGGCCACAUUGGGACUGAGGUACGGCCCAGACUCAUACGGGAGGCAGCAGUGGGGAAUAUUGCACAAUGGGCGGAAGCCUGAUGCAGCAACGCCGCGUGCGGGAUGACGGCCUGCGGGUUGGAAACCGCUUGCGCCUGUGACGAAGCGUGAGCGACGGUAAUGGGUAAAGAAGCACCGGCUAACUACGUG